GACGAACGCUGGCGGCGUGCUUAACACAUGCAAGUCGAACGGUGAAGCACCUUCCUUUUGGUGGGUGUGGAUGAGUGGCGAACGGGUGAGUAACACGUGAGUAACCUGCCCCCUUCUUCUGGAUAACCGCAUGAAAGUGUGGCUAAUACGGGAUAUUCUGGGUCUGUCGCAUGGCGGGCCUGGGAAAGAUAUUGUUUCGGUGGGGGAUGGGCUCGCGGUCUAUCAGCUUGUUGGUGGGGUGAUGGCCUACCAAGGCGGUGACGGGUAGCCGGCCUGAGAGGGUGGACGGGCACACUGGGACGGAGACACGGCGCAGACUCCUACGGGAGGCAGCAGUGGGGAAUAUUGUACAAUGGGCGCAAGCCUGAUGCAGCGACGCCGCGUGAGGGAUGGAGGCCGUCGGGUUGUAAACCUCUUUCGCCAGUGAAGCAGGCCUGUCCCUUUUGUGGGUGGGUUGACGGUAGCUGGAUAAGAAGCGCCGGCUAACUACGUG
RNAcentral lists this ribosomal RNA (493 nucleotides) under uncultured bacterium. RNAcentral's name for it is "partial 16S ribosomal RNA". It matches the Rfam family "Bacterial small subunit ribosomal RNA", at positions 28 to 507 of the family's 1533-position model. The record is from RNAcentral.